Molecule: ribosomal RNA, 542 nt
Filed under: Staphylococcus epidermidis
Lineage: Bacteria; Bacillati; Bacillota; Bacilli; Caryophanales; Staphylococcaceae
Description: partial 23S ribosomal RNA
Rfam family: Bacterial large subunit ribosomal RNA
Source: RNAcentral
CCCUCUCGGGUUACCGAAUUCAGACAAACUCCGAAUGCCAAUUAAUUUAACUUGGGAGUCAGAACAUGGGUGAUAAGGUCCGUGUUCGAAAGGGAAACAGCCCAGACCACCAGCUAAGGUCCCAAAAUAUAUGUUAAGUGGAAAAGGAUGUGGCGUUGCCCAGACAACUAGGAUGUUGGCUUAGAAGCAGCCAUCAUUUAAAGAGUGCGUAAUAGCUCACUAGUCGAGUGACACUGCGCCGAAAAUGUACCGGGGCUAAACAUAUUACCGAAGCUGUGGAUUGUCCUUUGGACAAUGGUAGGAGAGCGUUCUAAGGGCGUCGAAGCAUGAUCGCAAGGACAUGUGGAGCGCUUAGAAGUGAGAAUGCCGGUGUGAGUAGCGAAAGACGGGUGAGAAUCCCGUCCACCGAUUGACUAAGGUUUCCAGAGGAAGGCUCGUCCGCUCUGGGUUAGUCGGGUCCUAAGCUGAGGCCGACAGGCGUAGGCGAUGGAUAACAGGUUGAUAUUCCUGUACCACCUAGUAUCGUUUUAAUCGAUGGGGGG